UACGGGGGGAGCAAGCGUUGUUCGGAUUUACUGGGCGUAAAGGGCGCGUAGGCGGCCUCUGCAAGUCAGUUGUGAAAUCUCCGGGCUUAACUCGGAAAGGUCAACUGAUACUGCAGGGCUAGAGUGCGGAAGGGGCAACUGGAAUUCUCGGUGUAGCGGUGAAAUGCGUAGAUAUCGGGAGGAACACCGGUGGCGAAGGCGGGUCUCUGGGCAUUUCCUGACGCUGAGGCGCGAAAGCGUGGGGAGCAAACAGG
This 254-nucleotide ribosomal RNA is filed under the name uncultured prokaryote. Its description in RNAcentral is "partial 16S ribosomal RNA". It matches the Rfam family "Bacterial small subunit ribosomal RNA", at positions 524 to 776 of the family's 1533-position model. The record is from RNAcentral.